This 1064-nucleotide ribosomal RNA is filed under the name Shiraia bambusicola. RNAcentral describes it as "SSU rRNA". It matches the Rfam family "Eukaryotic small subunit ribosomal RNA", at positions 59 to 1128 of the family's 1831-position model. Lineage: Eukaryota; Fungi; Ascomycota; Dothideomycetes; Pleosporales; Shiraiaceae. The record is from RNAcentral.
AAAAGGCGGUCUAGUUAGCAUUAUACCGUGAAACUGCGAAUGGCUCAUUAAAUCAGUUAUCGUUUAUUUGAUAGUACCUUACUACUUGGACAACCGUGGUAAUUCUAGAGCUAAUACAUGCUGACAACCUCGACUUACGAAGAGGUGUAUUUAUUAGAUAAAAAACCAACGCCCUUCGGGGCUUCUUGGUGAUUCAUAAUAACUUUACGGAUCGCAUGGCCUUGCGCCGGCGACGGUUCAUUCAAAUUUCUGCCCUAUCAACUUUCGAUGGUAAGGUAUUGGCUUACCAUGGUUUCAACGGGUAACGGGGAAUUAGGGUUCGAUUCCGGAGAGGGAGCCCGAGAAACGGCUACCACAUCCAAGGAAGGCAGCAGGCGCGCAAAUUACCCAAUCCCGAUACGGGGAGGUAGUGACAAUAAAUACUGAUACAGGGCUCUUUUGGGUCUUGUAAUUGGAAUGAGUACAAUUUAAACCUCUUAACGAGGAACAAUUGGAGGGCAAGUCUGGUGCCAGCAGCCGCGGUAAUUCCAGCUCCAAUAGCGUAUAUUAAAGUUGUUGCAGUUAAAAAGCUCGUAGUUGAACCUUGGGUCUGGCUGGCAGGUCCGCCUCACCGCGUGUACUUGUCCGGCCGGGCCUUCCUUCUGGAGAACCUCAUGCCCUUCACUGGGCGUGUUGGGGACCAGGACUUUUACUUUGAAAAAAUUAGAGUGUUCAAAGCAGGCCUUUGCUCGAAUACGUUAGCAUGGAAUAAUAGAAUAGGACGUGCGGUCCUAUUUUGUUGGUUUCUAGGACCGCCGUAAUGAUUAAUAGGGACAGUCGGGGGCAUCAGUAUUCAAUUGUCAGAGGUGAAAUUCUUGGAUUUAUUGAAGACUAACUACUGCGAAAGCAUUUGCCAAGGAUGUUUUCAUUAAUCAGUGAACGAAAGUUAGGGGAUCGAAGACGAUCAGAUACCGUCGUAGUCUUAACCGUAAACUAUGCCGACUAGGGAUCGGGCGAUGUUAUUUUUCUGACUCGCUCGGCACCUUACGAGAAAUCAAAGUUUUUGGGUCUGGGGGAGAGCCCCG